ACAGAACUCGGUCUCCGCUCCACCAGAGGUCGCUGUAGGACCGCGCGCGAGGGAUCCGGUCCCGGCGACGCCGCUCUAGGCCGCAGGCCUCGUCUCUGCUGCAGUUCCGCCGCCGCUGCGCGGGUGGAGGAGGUUCCGGACUCGGGUGGUUUCUGUUUUUCUUGGAUCCACGCCAUCUCCCAACAUCCGCGGACAUCCGCACCUUCCAGCACUGUCUACUGUGUUUCCGCCUCUGUCCCGCUCCAUCUCUCACGGCGCCCCGGGAGUGUCACAUGGCUGCUGUUGCAUGAGAUGUGUCGUCAGGGAGAGCCGGGACUGAGUCCCCGCUGGGUCUGUGUGCACAGAGGCUCCACAGGAGGCGCCAUCUUCGUGUCAGCCAGGCGCUAGGCCCUGGGCCCCCAGGAGCCGCCAGUAGUGUCGAAUAUGUGGAGAAAGAAAAAUCAAGGUCAGCGUUAGAUCUGGAGAUCGUUGAGGAAGUCCCAAGGCCUUGAGUCAGUGACUUUGGGGUGACUUGGGAUCUGGCGUUGCUGGUAUUUCUCCCCAAGAUUCCUUUUGUUCGUGGACACCAGCGGGGCAGAGAAUGGAGAGUGCAGUGCACACAUGAAGAGCUCCCCGCCGCCUGCUCAGAGUGUCACGGGAGCACUGUUCACUCUGCACGAGAAAUCAGGGCAAAGCGCGGGGACUGGGGGCUCAGGGUCCUCUUCAGCUGGCUCUGAGUCCCGACAGCAUUGCCCUUGGACGCCGUGGACAGGAAGGCCGGUCCCCGUCCCUCUGCCUGCGUGACUUCAGCGGCCAAGAGUUUUUCUCUUGAGUUGGCAGCUGCUCAUUGUCAUCACUUUUCCCUCCACCCAUCCAUUCAGUAAACCGUACGCACCCACCCACCUGUGUUUUAAGUCAGUAACAAGCCACGUGCCAGCGAGGCUGGGCGGGGAGAAAGUGGGUCACAGGCCAAAUCCCGUUUUCACUCUGAGCCUUUCUGUCCUGCUCCUGAGGCUUGGCACGUGGGCUGUUGUUUGAGGUGUUCUGUUAGGAGCGGGGUGAACAAACACUGGUGGUGGGCUCAGGUUAGGACCUGUGAGAGUUGAGGGCGUUGAGGAACAGUCAGGCCAGGGCUUGGGAAGGGUGAUGGGGAACCGGAGUGAGACAGGUGCUGAUGUCAUUGGGGAAGCUGUGGGUUCCUGGCUCGUGAGUACGUACCUGCUUGUGUGACCAGCUUGCCUAGUUUGCCUGGAAUUGGGUUUCUCAGACAUGGGACUUUCAUUGCCAAAACCAGGCAAGUCCUGGGCAAACUGGAACAAGGUGGUCAACUUAGCUGGGUGUAAAAUACAUGGUGUCAACUUGAGAGGACAGGUUACUGAGUAAAGGUGAGAGUGGUGAACGUGGAGCCGCCAUUGGUGGACUCAGUCUUCUGGAGAUAAUUGGGGUAAAAUCGACAGUUGCACUGAGGACACGUAUGUGAACUUUUGAAUCUCCAUUUUAUAGAUGGAGGAGUCUGCAUGAGGAAGUAUGUCCCAAAGGCUGUGAUGAAAGGCCCUACUUUAAAAAUGUCCCAGUUCCUGCAUUUGGAAUUGAAACCACCUUGGCUGAGCUGAGGCAGGAUUCAGGCUGUCAGGCCUGCCUGGUGGCUUUGACACCCUGAAGGUCUGUGCAGGGGCAGGCAUUCUUCAUGGCUGAAAUGUUCUGCCCUGCUAGCCAGUUCCUGGUAGAGGCAUCCAGAAGCGGGAAGUCCUUUUUCUGUCUUACUCCAAGGACUAUCCUCUGACUUCUGUUUGCCACCUUUAUUCAGCUGGUUGUAGCUGCCUGGAAAGGUGCCAAGAGAAGGAGUCUGGGCCCACUGGAGAUAUAGCCGCGACUGAGCGCGAUGUCUGCUGCCACACAGGAGCAGGACACAGGCCAGUCCUUAGCAAGUGUCCUGGGGCCACUGGGCACUGGUGGUCAUGCUAGCCCUGUUCUGCCACAGCUUGCGAAGCGGGAGCCAUCCCAGGUCUGUAGGGCCUGAGGACAUCUGAGGAGAGCAUCCAUCCAGGGUGACCCAGGAACCAGGCUUAAGGUCAAUAAGGCACAAACCUUGGCUGGGAAACUAGGCCUCACUGGAGCAGCUGGUGGGAGAUUAACCAGACAUCAUACGAGACAUAGGGGUACAAUGGUGAAUAAGACAGUUUGUGCCCUAAAAGGGGUCACCAAUAAAUAUAUAGAUGUCUCCACACACCAAAUGUUACAGGACAGGCACUGCUGGGCACUGUAGGUGUUGGGGAUGCAGCUUUAAACAAAACGGGGUGCCUCCUGGAGCUUGUUUCGAACUGCUGUCCAUUAUGGCAAGCCACCAGACACUUGGGGCUAUUUUAAUGGAUUUAAAUAAAACUUAAAAUUCAGGUCUUCAGUUUUAUCAGCCACAUUUCAAGUGCUCAGUAGCCACAAGUAGCUGUGGGGUUGGACAGUGCAGAUACAGAAUAUUCCCAUUACUGCAGGAAGUUCAGACGGCACCAGUCUAGAAAAUAAGGAGUUGAAUUCCAUGAAAGUAGCUGGGACACCUUUACAGAAAGGCUGUCAUUUGAGGAGUCCAAAGAGGGCUGCUGUGCCU
Non-coding RNA from Kogia breviceps (pygmy sperm whale), 2581 nucleotides. The record is from RefSeq and is a predicted model, not a curated record. Lineage: Eukaryota; Metazoa; Chordata; Mammalia; Artiodactyla; Physeteridae.